AACUUUUGGCAACGGAUCUCUUGGUUCCCGCAUCGAUGAAGAACGCAGCAAAAUGCGAUAAGUAAUGUGAAUUGCAGAAUUCAGUGAGUCAUCGAAUCUUUGAACGCAUAUUGCGCCCUUUGGUAUUCCGAAGGGCAUGCCUGUUCGAGCGUCAUUAUCACAAUAUCAAGCUUGGCUUGUUGUUGGGCCUUUUGUCACCUGGUGACAGGCCUGAAAGACAACGACCGGUGUCAUAGACUCCAUAUGCAACGAGCUUAUAACAGCACGCAUCUGGUGGUUGUGUGACCUGUGGGCAGCCUCUGGCACCUUCUCUUUCUCAAGGUUGACCUCGGAUCAGGUAGGAAUACCCGCUGAACUUAAGCAUAUCAAUAAGCGGAGGCU
Molecule: unclassified non-coding RNA, 381 nt
Filed under: uncultured Ascomycota
Lineage: Eukaryota; Fungi; Ascomycota
Description: sequence contains ITS2
Rfam family: 5.8S ribosomal RNA (bases 1-154)
Source: RNAcentral